Long non-coding RNA from Haliotis rufescens (red abalone), 300 nucleotides. RefSeq lists it as uncharacterized. The record is from RefSeq and is a predicted model, not a curated record. The transcript is spliced from 4 exons. Lineage: Eukaryota; Metazoa; Mollusca; Gastropoda; Lepetellida; Haliotidae.
GAUUUGGAAAGAUAUCACCACGAAACUAAAUGCCACUGGUGACAUAACCCGGAAUGAGGAUGAAGUACGUAAGAAAUGGACGGACAUGAAGGGAUGUGUGAAGAAGGCAGAGUCAGCCAGGAGGCUGAAUGCAAGGAGGACUGGUGGUGGACCACCCCCAGAUGACCUUACUGCAACUGAAAAGAGGAUUCUACAACUGAUUCCAUCCUGUGCUAUUGAGGGGAUCUCAGGAGGCAUGGAAACACCUGUGUUCAGCAUGAUUCCUUCAGUAGCUGAUGAAGCUGAAGAAGCUACACAGGC